GAUGAACGCUGGCGGCGUGCCUAAUACAUGCAAGUCGAGCGAACGGACGAUAAGCUUGCUUCUCUGAUGUUAGCGGCGGACGUGUGAGUAACACGUGGAUAACCUACCUAUAAGACUGGGAUAACUUCGGGAAACCGUAGCUAAUACCGUAUAAUAUUUUGAUCCGCAUGGUUCAAUAGUGAAAGACGGUCUUGCUGUCACUUAUAGAUAGAUCCGCGCUGCAUUAGCUAGUUGGUAAGGUAACGGCUUACCAAGGAAACGAUGCAUAGCCGACCUGGGAGGGGGAUCGGCCACACUGGAACGGGAACACGGUCCAGAGUCCUAAGGGAGGCAGCAGAAGGGAAUCUUCGGCAUUGGGGGAAAGCCUGACGGAGCAACGCCGCGUGAGUGAGGAAGGUCUUCGGUUCGUAAAACUCGGUUAUUAGGGAAGAACAGAUGUGUAAUUAAAUGUGCACAUCUUGACGGUACCUAAUCAGAAAGCCACGGCUAACUACGUG
This 497-nucleotide ribosomal RNA is filed under the name uncultured bacterium. RNAcentral describes it as "partial 16S ribosomal RNA". It matches the Rfam family "Bacterial small subunit ribosomal RNA", at positions 28 to 507 of the family's 1533-position model. The record is from RNAcentral.